UACGUAGGUGGCAAGCGUUAUCCGGAAUUAUUGGGCGUAAAGCGCGCGUAGGCGGGUAGAUUAGUCUGAUGUGAAAGCCCCCGGCUCAACCGGGGAGGGUCAUUGGAAACUGUCUAGCUUGAGUGCAGGAGAGGAGAGUGGAAUUCCAUGUGUAGCGGUGAAAUGCGUAGAGAUAUGGAGGAACACCAGUGGCGAAGGCGACUUUCUGGUCUGUAACUGACGCUGAUGUGCGAAAGCGUGGGGAUCAAACAGG
This 253-nucleotide ribosomal RNA is filed under the name uncultured bacterium. RNAcentral's name for it is "partial 16S ribosomal RNA". It matches the Rfam family "Bacterial small subunit ribosomal RNA", at positions 524 to 776 of the family's 1533-position model. The record is from RNAcentral.